This 335-nucleotide ribosomal RNA is filed under the name uncultured soil bacterium. RNAcentral's name for it is "bacterial SSU rRNA". It matches the Rfam family "Bacterial small subunit ribosomal RNA", at positions 26 to 372 of the family's 1533-position model. The record is from RNAcentral.
AGAUUGAACGCUGGCGGCAUGCCUAACACAUGCAAGUCGAACGGGAGUAGCAAUACUCUAGUGGCGGACGGGUGAGGAAUACGUAGGAAUUUGCCCUUAAGUGGGGGAUAACCCGGGGAAACCCGGAUUAAUACCGCAUGACCUCGAAAGAGCAAAGUGGGGGAUCGCAAGACCUCACGCUUUUGGAGAAGCCUACGUCGGAUUAGCUAGUUGGUGAGGUAAUGGCUCACCAAGGCGACGAUCCGUAACUGGUCUGAGAGGAUGAUCAGUCACACCGGAACUGAGACACGGUCCGGACUCCGUACGGGAGCAGCAGUGGGGAAUAGUUGGACAAU